Molecule: transfer RNA, 68 nt
Filed under: Crossorhombus kobensis (Kobe flounder)
Lineage: Eukaryota; Metazoa; Chordata; Actinopteri; Pleuronectiformes; Bothidae
Also listed under: 1 other name
Description: tRNA-Pro
Rfam family: tRNA
About the family: Transfer RNA (tRNA) molecules are approximately 80 nucleotides in length.
Source: RNAcentral
CAGGAAGUAGUUUAGUAGAAUUCUGGCUUUGGGGGCCAGAGGCAGGAGUUAAACCCUUCUCUUCCUGA